UACGAAGGGGGCUAGCGUUGCUCGGAAUCACUGGGCGUAAAGGGUGCGUAGGCGGGUCUUUAAGUCAGGGGUGAAAUCCUGGAGCUCAACUCCAGAACUGCCUUUGAUACUGAAGAUCUUGAGUUCGGGAGAGGUGAGUGGAACUGCGAGUGUAGAGGUGAAAUUCGUAGAUAUUCGCAAGAACACCAGUGGCGAAGGCGGCUCACUGGCCCGGUACUGACGCUGAGGUGCGAAAGCGUGGGGAGCAACAGGG
RNAcentral lists this ribosomal RNA (253 nucleotides) under uncultured bacterium. RNAcentral describes it as "partial 16S ribosomal RNA". It matches the Rfam family "Bacterial small subunit ribosomal RNA", at positions 524 to 776 of the family's 1533-position model. The record is from RNAcentral.